UACGUAGGGUGCGAGCGUUGUCCGGAAUUAUUGGGCGUAAAGGGCUCGUAGGCGGUUUGUCGCGUCGGGAGUGAAAACACACAGCUUAACUGUGUGCUGGCUUCCGAUACGGGCAGACUAGAGGUAUGCAGGGGAGAACGGAAUUCCUGGUGUAGCGGUGAAAUGCGCAGAUAUCAGGAGGAACACCGGUGGCGAAGGCGGUUCUCUGGGCAUUACCUGACGCUGAGGAGCGAAAGUGUGGGGAGCGAACAGG
This 253-nucleotide ribosomal RNA is filed under the name uncultured bacterium. RNAcentral describes it as "partial 16S ribosomal RNA". It matches the Rfam family "Bacterial small subunit ribosomal RNA", at positions 524 to 776 of the family's 1533-position model. The record is from RNAcentral. RNAcentral also lists the same sequence under 1 other name.